Molecule: long non-coding RNA, 606 nt
Filed under: Crocodylus porosus (Australian saltwater crocodile)
Lineage: Eukaryota; Metazoa; Chordata; Crocodylia; Crocodylidae
Description: lncRNA (ENSCPRG00005014707.1)
Source: RNAcentral
GACGAAAGCGGCCGUCUUGUCCCAGUGCUGCUGGCAGCGGAGUGCCACACUGGGUACUCGGAAGUGCCGGAAGAUGCUGCUGUCUUGGUCCACGAAGCAGAGACCAGGUAGGGACAGGGAUUUUUCAUCCACCUGCUGCUGGCUGCUCCUGAGCUCCUGCCGCCGCUGGCUGGCGAUCUACAGGAACCCAAGCAGGGCAGAGAGGCUGCCCACCCACCCACUUUUGGAGAGGCCUGGCUUGGCAGUGGGAGACCCACCUCAAUACGUGUGGACCCCAGAAAGCAGCUUGGAGCUCCUACCAGUUGAUCGGGACAGCAGGGAACUGGGGGUCAGGUACUGGCGUCGGUGGCGCCUGGCUGUGCUGCUCCGGCAGUGCCGGGAGGACAGGCAAGCACGCUGCCUGGCCAGGGCCUGGCUGCAGUGGAAGGAUGUCAGCAGGGCAGCAUUGCUGGGGCGAGUGCUGGCCUGGCAGCGGCUGGUGGAGCAGGGCUGGAAGACAUGGCGGAGACGCUACCUGCAGCACUGCGUGUCCCAGCACUUCCUGGAAGACGAAGCCCGGAGCCUGCUGUCCUGGGUGAGAGCACCCUAUUGCCUCGCUAAGGGGGG